RNAcentral lists this long non-coding RNA (488 nucleotides) under Bos taurus (domestic cattle). Its description in RNAcentral is "long non-coding RNA NONBTAT009094". Lineage: Eukaryota; Metazoa; Chordata; Mammalia; Artiodactyla; Bovidae. The record is from RNAcentral.
CCUUGGAGUUAUGGCUGUACUCCUCCGCUGGCAAAGGCAUCAGUGUGUAAGGUAAACCUAAUGGUUGCUGUAUCAAGACGAUUCUUUUCUACAAAGAAUGCCGAGUUUUGGCAGGAAUAAUAACUUCGUAUUAAUGCCUUAGGGAUACAUUUCUCGAGCUUGUAAUGAUGGUACACUUUAUGUUUGGCUUCUGGUGUUCACUUGUUUCUUUCUGAUCCAGAUUGUUAAGUCUUUCGGUAUUUACAGCACAGAAAGUUCCUAUAGCAGUUAAGAAAAAAACAAUCGUAGUUGUCCAAGUACUGCAAGGGCAGAUAUUUAUUCUCUGGAAUGGCUUCAUGUGUAAUCAUUUGUUUUUCUCACACAUUUUCUUUGAUAGGUACACAAUUAAGAUAUAAUUUAAAUUAUUUUUUGUUAGAAAAAUCAUUGUGGAGGUGAUGACAAGGAAAAAAAGGGAAGCAGUCUAUUCCUCGAAUUAAUGAAAUAUGGAU